Molecule: ribosomal RNA, 432 nt
Filed under: uncultured bacterium
Lineage: Bacteria
Description: partial 16S ribosomal RNA
Rfam family: Bacterial small subunit ribosomal RNA
Source: RNAcentral
AACGAACGCUGGCGGCAUGCCUAACACAUGCAAGUCGAACGAGACCUUCGGGUCUAGUGGCGCACGGGUGCGUAACGCGUGGGAACCUGCCCUUAGGUUCGGAAUAACUCCCCGAAAGGGGUGCUAAUACCGGAUAAUGUCUUCGGACCAAAGAUUUAUCGCCUUUGGAUGGGCCCGCGUUGGAUUAGCUAGUUGGUAGGGUAAAAGCCUACCAAGGCGACGAUCCAUAGCUGGUCUGAGAGGAUGAUCAGCCACACUGGGACUGAGACACGGCCCAGACUCCUCGGGGAGGCAGCAGUGGGGAAUAUUGGAAAAGGGGCGAAAGCCUGAUCCAGCAAUGCCGGGUGAGUGAUGAAGGCCUUAGGGUUGUAAAGCUCUUUUCCCCGGGAUGAUAAUGACAGUACCGGGAGAAUAAGCCGCGGCUAACCCCGU